GACGAACGCUGGCGGCGUGCUUAACACAUGCAAGUCGAACGGAAAGGCCCUGCUUUUGUGGGGUGCUCGAGUGGCGAACGGGUGAGUAACACGUGAGUAACCUGCCCUUGACUUUGGGAUAACUUCAGGAAACUGGGGCUAAUACCGGAUAGGAGCUCCUGCUGCAUGGUGGGGGUUGGAAAGUUUCGGCGGUUGGGGAUGGACUCGCGGCUUAUCAGCUUGUUGGUGGGGUAGUGGCUUACCAAGGCUUUGACGGGUAGCCGGCCUGAGAGGGUGACCGGCCACAUUGGUACUGAGAUACGGCCCAGACUGCUACGGGAGGCAGCAGUGGGGAAUAUUGCACAAUGGGCGGAAGCCUGAUGCAGCAACGCCGCGUGCGGGAUAACGGCCUUCGGGUUGUAAACCGCUUUCGCCUGUGACGAAGCGUGAGUGACGGUAAUGGGUAAAGAAGCACCGGCUAACUACGUG
Molecule: ribosomal RNA, 468 nt
Filed under: uncultured bacterium
Lineage: Bacteria
Description: partial 16S ribosomal RNA
Rfam family: Bacterial small subunit ribosomal RNA
Source: RNAcentral